RNAcentral lists this ribosomal RNA (420 nucleotides) under Enterobacter sp. SM49. Its description in RNAcentral is "bacterial SSU rRNA". It matches the Rfam family "Bacterial small subunit ribosomal RNA", at positions 979 to 1402 of the family's 1533-position model. Lineage: Bacteria; Pseudomonadati; Pseudomonadota; Gammaproteobacteria; Enterobacterales; Enterobacteriaceae. The record is from RNAcentral.
UCUUGAUCCAGAGACUUUCCAGAGAUGCUUUGGUGCCUUCGGGAACUCUGAGACAGGUGCUGCAUGGCUGUCGUCAGCUCGUGUUGUGAAAUGUUGGGUUAAGUCCCGCAACGAGCGCAACCCUUAUCCUUUGUUGCCAGCGGUUCGGCCGGGAACUCAAAGGAGACUGCCAGUGAUAAACUGGAGGAAGGUGGGGAUGACGUCAAGUCAUCAUGGCCCUUACGAGUAGGGCUACACACGUGCUACAAUGGCGCAUACAAAGAGAAGCGACCUCGCGAGAGCAAGCGGACCUCAUAAAGUGCGUCGUAGUCCGGAUUGGAGUCUGCAACUCGACUCCAUGAAGUCGGAAUCGCUAGUAAUCGUAGAUCAGAAUGCUACGGUGAAUACGUUCCCGGGUUUGUUACACACCGAAGAACUUCU